This 253-nucleotide ribosomal RNA is filed under the name uncultured bacterium. RNAcentral's name for it is "partial 16S ribosomal RNA". It matches the Rfam family "Bacterial small subunit ribosomal RNA", at positions 524 to 776 of the family's 1533-position model. The record is from RNAcentral.
UACGUAGGGUGCAAGCGUUAAUCGGAAUUACUGGGCGUAAAGCGUGCGCAGGCGGUCUUGCAAGACAGAUGUGAAAUCCCCGAGCUCAACCUGGGAACUGCAUUUGUGACUGCAAGGCUGGAGUACGGUAGAGGGGGAUGGAAUUCCGCGUGUAGCAGUGAAAUGCGUAGAUAUGCGGAGGAACACCGAUGGCGAAGGCAAUCCCCUGGACCUGUACUGACGCUCAUGCACGAAAGCGUGGGGAGCAAACAGG